GAUCCUGGCUCAGGAUGAACGCUAGCGACAGGCCUAACACAUGCAAGUCGAGGGGCAGCGCGGAGUAGCAUACUUGGCGGCGACCGGCGCACGGGUGAGUAACACGUAUGCAACCAACCCAGUAACAGGGGGAUAACCCGGAGAAAUCCGGACUAAUACCGCAUAAGACCACGAUAUCGCAUGAUAGUAGAGGUCAAAUAUUUAUAGGUUAUGGACGGGCAUGCGUCUGAUUAGCUGGUUGGCGGGGUAACGCCCACAAGGCAUCGAUCAGUAGGGGUUCUGAGAGGAAGGUCCCCCACAUUGGAACUGAGACACGGUCCAAACUCCUACGGGAGGCAGCAGUGAGGAAUAUUGGUCAAUGGGCGAAAGCCUGAACCAGCCAUGUCGCGUGAAGGAAUGAAGGUCCUAUGGAUUGUAAACUUCUUUUGCAGGAGGGUAAAGUGAGCUACGUGUAGUUCAUUGCAAGUACCCUGCGAAUAAGCAUCGGUUAACUCCGUGCCAGCAGCAGC
RNAcentral lists this ribosomal RNA (509 nucleotides) under uncultured bacterium. Its description in RNAcentral is "bacterial SSU rRNA". It matches the Rfam family "Bacterial small subunit ribosomal RNA", at positions 15 to 518 of the family's 1533-position model. The record is from RNAcentral.